Molecule: long non-coding RNA, 895 nt
Filed under: Malus domestica (apple)
Lineage: Eukaryota; Viridiplantae; Streptophyta; Magnoliopsida; Rosales; Rosaceae
Description: long non-coding RNA (MDOM_LNC020166)
Source: RNAcentral
CAUCAUAGAUGUCUAAUGGUUAGGUCCUUGAUCUUUGAUCAUGUCAACGGCAUUCCUUCGGAUUGUCCACGACAUUGUUGGGGUCAAGCUAUCUAGUCAUAUAGGCAUAUGAAUGCACAACAAGGGAUCUCUAACCUUCCAUGGUGGAAGGAGAAUACUCUAAGAUAUGAUUCUAAAGUCUUUGGCCAAAGCAUAUGAAUAUGACUCAGGAAGUUUGUUCCGAAUCAUAUAGGAAAGUAUCACAUUGGAUAGUAGACAUGAAACAAACUAUCACUUAAACAAUGUGAUUAAGAGUAUUGUAUUAGAGAAGGACCAUAUUGCAUUGUAGUUGUAACUGGAUAGGUUCUCCAACCAAUUCUACUUAGCUUGGGUAACCAUGAUAUGCUGCUAGGUGUCACUCAUGGUUUGUGGAAGCCCUGAAGAUUAGCAAACACUAAUCUUAAGGGAGAAUUGAAAUGUGGUUUCAAUUCACAAUCGAUCGUUAAGAGUAACAUCGCCCACUGCCUCGCUAAUUGGAACCUAAUGGAUCACACACCAUAUAAGGAUGUUAGUGAAGAAAUCAUAUGAAAUGGAUAAGCAAUUAAAUGGUUUAAUUGAAGAAUGGUCAAGAUUAAUUAAUUAGUUAAUUAAUUAUACGAAAGGUUCGUAUUGGGCUUGUAUGUUGGUUUUGGGUUUCGGGGCCCAAAAGUGUUUUGGUCCACAAGGCCCAUUAUGUUUAAGUUGUAUGACAACUAAAACAAAAUGGGCAAAUUGGCCCAAUAACAAGGAGAGGCCGGCCAUUAGGGUGAAUGGGCAAGCUUGCUUAAUUACAAGUUUGCCACUCACCAAAGAAAAUGUUAUAAAAGCAACUUUAUAGCCAUUUUCUCAUUAGGGUUUUCUAAUAGAAAUUGGGUGA